Molecule: ribosomal RNA, 229 nt
Filed under: Clostridioides difficile
Lineage: Bacteria; Bacillati; Bacillota; Clostridia; Peptostreptococcales; Peptostreptococcaceae
Description: partial 16S ribosomal RNA
Rfam family: Bacterial small subunit ribosomal RNA
Source: RNAcentral
GGCUACGGCUCAACCGUAGUAAGCGCUUGAAACUGGGAGACUUGAGUGCAGGAGAGGAGAGUGGAAUUCCUAGUGUAGCGGUGAAAUGCGUAGAUAUUAGGAGGAACACCAGUUGCGAAGGCGGCUCGCUGGACUGUAACUGACGCUGAGGCACGAAAGCGUGGGGAGCAAACAGGAUUAGAUACCCUGGUAGUCCACGCUGUAAACGAUGAGUACUAGGUGUCGGGGG